AAAAAUUUAAUAUGAAACAUCCAUCUAAACCCAUUAUACACAUUAUAUUUUGCUAGAUAAAAAUUUUCCAAGGAUGGAUAUAUCUACCUUAGAAUCCACAAUAUUUUAAACUUCAUCUCCAAUCCAGUUCCUUUUUAGUUUGGGGCCUGUGGGUCCUUCUUCUCCGAAAACUUCCUUUGGUAGGCUCUUGACAAACUUUUGAAAAACAGAUUUGAGUUUUUCAGGCAAUAUUUUCUCUACUUUCUUGAUCUCAUCCUCCACGUCGUAGCUAAUUGUUGGACCCCAUUUUCUCAAGUAAUUAAGCCAUGGCGGUUCGAUAAUAGCCGUGCCCAAAUACUCGGCUGCAACCACAGAGAAUCUUGCUCCAGUGUCCAAGACUAUCUUACUUUUGGAAGUAUCGUUCCUGAUUCCUAUCCUACUACUCCCUUGAAAGACCAGACCUGGUUUGGAAUACAUGGCAUGACCGUGCAACGAUGCGUAGCAAACAGCUUUGUUUCCAUUUUCAAACUCAAGCUCUGAGGCAUUGAACCAAGAACCCCCACUGUGUUGGGAGAAGUAAACACUCCAUAGCUCCCCAUUGAAGUUGCUGAUUCUCAAUGUCAAAUGCUCCCAGUCACCAACAUGUUCUCCUAUCCUUCCUAAUGGAGCGUUGAUGAGUUCAACUUUAGCCUUGGCAGGACCAUUGAAAGGAUAAAACACCCACACAACUAUGUCUGUGAAGGUUGCUCCCAGCAUUGGUUUAAUGUGUAAAUAUACCUCAGUUUCUUGUAAAUCUCCUUUCUUGACUCUCUCUUUGGCUUUUUUAUCCACAGGAAGGUCCAACCAGUAUUCACCAUCAUUUGAACCUCCUUGGAGAAGGUUCGAGCCCGUUGGUUCAACAGGGACGGGGUUGGACUCUUCCCCCUUCUUAUAUAAAAGCGCUCCAUUGUUAAAGAACCAACUCACUGAGGACGAAAGGUACUCUUCGUCUGGAUGGAAAUAUAUCCGGGGAGAGUAUGCCUGAAAAAUUGCCUGAAUUUGGUUUAGAUUAGGCAUACAAGAUAAAUUGGAGCUCACUUUCUUCAAGCAAGCUACAGAAGUAGGAGUAGAAUUGCCGUUUUGUGCCACAAAUGUGCCCACACAAACACCCAUAGCCUGCGUCCCUCUAUUGCUGGGCCUCAAACUGAAUGCGUUGAAUCCAUUUGGAUCGCUUUGCUUGCCUGGUCCCCAUAUCCAGGUGUCGAUCUCGCAUUGGUCGGUGAGGUCUGAUCGAACGCAGCAGAUUUUAUCCAAGGAAGGCUUUUCGGCGGAAUUGGUGACGACAACGCCUAAGGCUGUGUAACCAUCAGGAGCGUUGGGUAACCAAAUGUAGCCAAUGCCAUCUUGCUUGAUUUGCAGAGACUCGCUGCUCCAAACAAGCGUGUAAUCAAGUGGUGUCUUUAAGGCUCCUCCUACCUCAUCUUUCCCUGCAAGAACCCAUCCAUAAAGCGACCUGUUAUUGGGUUGGCUAUAGCUACCCAACAUGAAGAAUCCUUGUGGGAUUUGCGAGGGAUCAAAGAAAGAAGCGCCGAGAUCAUCUGGUCCCCCUUCAUGGGUAGCCCAAACUUUGUUGAAAGAUGAAAUCUGGCACACUCGUAAUCCACCAAGAUCAAUGGUUCCAUGUCCAAAACCUUCACCUGGUGGCCAAGUUGGCAAUGGAGAGGGAAGGCUGAAGGAGGUUUCGAUGGGGGAAGCUUCGGAGACAACGUUGGGACUUGCAGAAGGACUGUUCCCCAUUUAGUUGGUGAAGGUGUUGGAAGAAAACCUUAG
RNAcentral lists this unclassified non-coding RNA (1788 nucleotides) under Hevea brasiliensis (rubber tree). The record is from RNAcentral. Lineage: Eukaryota; Viridiplantae; Streptophyta; Magnoliopsida; Malpighiales; Euphorbiaceae.